This 253-nucleotide ribosomal RNA is filed under the name uncultured bacterium. RNAcentral's name for it is "partial 16S ribosomal RNA". It matches the Rfam family "Bacterial small subunit ribosomal RNA", at positions 524 to 776 of the family's 1533-position model. The record is from RNAcentral.
UACGAAGGGGGCGAGCGUUGUUCGGAAUUACUGGGCGUAAAGGGCGCGUAGGCGGCCCCUUUUGUCGCGUGUGAAAGCCCCGGGCUCAACCUGGGAACGGCGCGCGAAACGGGGGGGCUUGAGUUCGGGAGAGGAGAGUGGAAUUCCCAGUGUAGAGGUGAAAUUCGUAGAUAUUGGGAAGAACACCAGUGGCGAAGGCGACUACCUGGCCUGUUCUUGACGCUGAGGCGCGAAAGCUAGGGUAGCAAACGGG